RNA transcript from Orcinus orca (killer whale), 5271 nucleotides. It is a transcript of the gene named thioredoxin domain-containing protein 8, with no coding region annotated. NCBI's taxonomy places the organism in Eukaryota, Metazoa, Chordata, Mammalia, Artiodactyla, Delphinidae. The transcript is spliced from 8 exons. The record is from RefSeq and is a predicted model, not a curated record.
GCUACAGUCAGCCAACUGAACCAACAGGAGAGCUUUGUCCGCAAUUCCCAGGUGUAAGUCAUGGUGCAGAAUAUUAGAGACAUGGAAAUGUCUGUGCAAUACCGAAACGUCCUGUUUGCUAGUGUGGAUGUGGACGAUGCUCGGGAGUUGGCCCAAAUUUAUCACAUCAAAGCAAUGCCCACAUUUCAGAUGUUCAAGCAAGCCCAGAAGGUAACCCUAUUCUCAAGAAUCAAAAGAGCAAUUUGCUGUUAUAGAAGUGGAUCCCUGAGCGAGCCGAUUUUUGAACUUUGUGGAACUGAUGCUAAAAAACUGGAAGAAAAGAUUCGAGAACUAAUCAACUAUUUGAACCUGCCCCUUGGAACUCAGGGAAGGUCAUGGAGGCUGAAUGAAGCGUAUUUCCAACAAACAAGAAACGGAACACAGAAAGGCUUUUGUGCCCAGGAGGCUCACAGGAUCCUGCUCAGUUUCAAGCCUUUUGCAUCCAUCACCCUGUUUAACCUUUGCAACAAUCCUAGAAUAGAAGACACAAUCUAGUUAAAUUGAAACCGUGCAACUCAGAUUGGGAAUUGAACCCACGGGCCAGGACUCAAACCCAGCCAAAACCCAGAUUGGGACUUAAACCCAUGUUAACUGAGAUCGCACACCUGGCCUCAGAACUUAAUCAAUUUCAGGUUCUUGAUGUCUCAUUGCAGAAAUAAUUCAGUGAGAGACAAAGUGAUAGGUAAGAAGUGGAUUUAUUUAGAGAGAGAUACACUCCCCAGACAGAGUGUGGGCCAUCUCAGAAGGCGAGAGUGGCACCAGGGUACGGGGUUGUCAGUUUUUAUACGGGUGGAUAAUUUCAUAGGCUAAUGAGUGCGAGGAGUAUUCCAACUAUUUGGGGGAAGGGAUUGGGAUUUUCAGGAAUUGGGCCACUGCCCACUUUUUGACCCUUGCGGUUGGCCUUGGAACUGUCAUGGCGCCUGUGGGUAUGUCAUUUAGCUUGCUGAUGUGUUACAAUGUGCAUAUACUGAGGCUGAAGGUCUAGUGGAAAUCGACUCAUCUGCCAUCUUGGACCCAUUUGGUUCUAAUCAGUUUCUGUCAUGUCCUCGGGCUACGUCAUUCUUUUAAAGGUUGUGCCCUGCCCCCUUCCAUCCUGUUUCAAAAUGACUUGCCCAAAUUUUCCCAGAAGAAUCCAGUGCUUUGAAAUUUCUUUCAUCUCUUCUAGGGGAUUGAUAGGAAUUUCUUCUCCCUUCAGGAGCACUGCCCUGGCAUGUGGUGAAAUGUCUCAUUUACAUAUAUCUCAGUAACACAAUGUAAUCCAACUUCCUUUCCUGGGUCCUGUAAAGCACUGGGUUGCUGCAUUCUGAGAAAACAGGGAUUUGCAGUCUUGCCUCCAACAAUGACUAGUCCCUUUACCGGUCCCAAAUGUAUAUCCUCCUGCUGUGUGUUCAGGCCUUUCUGCAUCCACAGUAACUUUUCAUUUCAAUACUGACAGUGUAUUCUUUUAAAAGACAUUUGAAACUCAACCUAUAGGGCAUCAACAAGGCUCCUAAAUUGAUCCAGGUGACCACACAUGAAUAGCUGCGGCUGAGUCUGUGCACACACAGACAGUGACAACCAAGUCAGACCUGCCACCUGGUCCACUGUGAUUGUGAGAUGCCACUCCUUGUCAGGGGCGUCUCAAUUUCAAAGAUGUUAAAAUGUGAAAUAAUGUGCACCUGGAGUAGUCAAGCUCCUUGAUCUCACAAUUAAAUGUUAGCUCAAGAGCAAAAGGUUGGGGGCUUCCCUGGUGGCGCAGCGGCUGAGAGUCCGCCUGCCGAUGCAGGGGACACGGGUUCGUGCCCCGGUCCGGGAAGAUCCCACAUGCCGCGGAGCGGCUGGGCUCGUGAGCCAUGGCCACUGAGCCUGUGCUCCUCAACGGGAGAGGCCACAACAGUGAGAGGCCCGCGUACCGCCAAAAAAAAAGAAACACUAUCAGUGAUAUAGGAAGUGGGGAGAAGUACCUUCUCUUCGGGACAGGCUUAAAGGGCCCAGCUGCCUGAUGUUCUGAUGAAUCAAGCUACCACUGAAUUCUGAUGCAGGACUGAGCAGGCUGAAUCCCCAAGGGUCUGGCAAGGAGGAGGUACUGAUGUUUGGCAGGGAUUCUCAUUUGUCUGGGUGGAUCGAUGAGGUGAAAGUCUGCUUCAAGAAUCUUUUCAUAAUAACAGUUUCCAUAUUUCUAACGCUUACUACCUGCCAGGUCCUGUGUUAAGAGCCUUAAACACAUCAUCUCAUUUAACCUCUCAAUAAGACCUGAACUGCUUUAUGAGGGAAUAAACAGUGGAAAUGUGGUGAACAAAGAUUGCACCACCCCAGGGAAUGUCUGUCAAUAAUUAGAGGAAGAAGGAAAUCAUCUAAGAGUACUGCCUGGGUUAUACAAUCAUUUAAAAUAACAACAAUAAUAAGCAUUAGUCACUUUUAGAGGUUGCUAGGAUAUCAACUCACUAUUCUGAAAGUUGAUAAAAGGCAAGAAUUGAGCAUUUAUCUUGAUUUUCCUCUAUGACUGUAUUUCAGCAUAACCAAAUAGUUGAUGAGUAAGUUGUUCUUUACAGGAUAACUUCAGAUAAUACGUGCAGAAGGCAUGAUAGAAUUUAAAAGACCACCUUGCAACCCCUAAUGAAAGAAUGCAUCUAGACAACAAUCAUUGGUGGAUGUUAAAUCAUUGAGUUGAUGGGAAAUUUUUAACGGAUGGAUCAGACUGACAACUCUUAAACCUACUGAUCAUCUUAGCAUCACACAAAAAUGGAAAAGAAUGGAACAUGGCAUGCAUCAAUGUGAGGUAUAGGUAGUAUACAGCAAAAUAUAUAAAUUAUUCUUGCCAAAAUAAUUGAACCUGAAUCUAAUCAAGUCUCCAGACAUAGCUACAGGUCUAGAGAAAGUAUGGGAGGUAGAGGGAUAGAAAAACAAGUUAAACUCCACAAGAAGCAACUAGCCAAGUCCAGAAUGGAGGAAAUUCUGCAGGAGAAAUGACCAUAUGACUUCCACAAAUGAAUGGUCUGACAAAGGGGGUGGAGGGGAAUUGUUGUAGAUUAAAAGAGAGUUAAGAAAGCAACUGCUACUAAUUUUUUCAAUUUACAGCCUUUCGCAACCGUAACCUUCCCUGUGAAAAUUCUCUUUUCCAAGGUAACCUAGCCCACCUUGAAGCAGGACUCAACACUUCAUCCCAGCCUGCCUGCAGCAACAAAUACCUUCCACAACCCACAGUGAGCAAUAUAAACUUUACCAAAGAUUUUACUGAUGUGCUGGAGAGAGGCUUUCACUCCCCACUGGUUGCCAUCCUGCACAUGCUUCCUCCCAAAAAUCUUUCCCGUUGACUGCCCUCUGUUUGGUCUCUAGCUUUCUUCUAGAAUCCCAGAAUGCCAAAGUUAUUAUUCCCAUGAAGACUUGCUUUCAGCAAACAAAAGAAUGUUCAACCACAGCCAUUCAAUGGGAAAGUUAUAAAUUACAAAUAAUUUUUCCUAUCUCACAGCUAAUGCCACCAAUUCCUUAGACUGCUACACAAACAACGUAUUUUCCAUUUUUUCUCACUUUCCUAGACAAACAUUUGAAUUUCUUCCAGCUUAGGUAUAUCUGUCUUCAUGUGUGGAGCCCAGAACCCAAUGUAAAAUCCUGGCGUGAGCUGAAAAAAUAGAAAGGGGCCCUAAUCUCUGUCAUUCUAAUACGUUUACUGAUGGGGCCUAGAACCCCAAAAUUUUGUAUCGGGAUCGCUUCUCAUCAGUUAUUUAUGUUGAGAUUCCCGGCAGAUUCUUUUCACACAUGCUUCUGUUAAACUACAUCUUUCCCCCAUCCUACACUUGUGGCGCUAUUUUCAGACUCAAGGGUUAUGUACAAGUUCUCCCUAUUACAUAUAAUUUUAACAGACUAGUCUAUCAAAUUACCUUUUCUCCAUUAAUCAACAUUCCUGAUGAGUUCUACUGAUCACCACAUUAUUUUCUAAAUGUUCCCAAGUAAAAUAGUUGAGUGUCCUUCAAUUUUUCCAAGGAUCAUACCAUGCUCCUGUUCUAUAAUUUCUGUAACCUACCAUUUUUCUCUCCUGAAAUCAGAGACUGUGCAAGGGGUACAGGUGAUAUAUGCUUAAGAGUGUCACGUAUAAGGAGGGACCACAUACAAGGUAGAUACUGUAAAUUUGAGCAUUAAAUAUUGUAAAAAUUGUUCUGGCAGAAGGCCAUAAAGUGUCCUAUUCUUUAAAAAGUAUAUUGUUAUAAUUUUCCAACAGGUGGAAGCAAAGUAUCUUGAGGAAGAGUUGCCUUUUGCUAAGUCACACAAAGGCUCCAUAUGGGCCAGUGGUGGCUUGCUGAAAAUUGUGUUAACUCAUGCUAUAGACUAAACAUUUGUGUUCCCCCAAAAUUCUAUGUUGAAACCUAAUCCCCAAUAUGACGGUAUUUGGAGGCAAGGCUUCUGGGAGGUGAUUAGGUAAUGAGGGUAGAGCCUCAUGAAAGGGAUUAAUACCCUUAUAAAAGAGACUCCAGAGAGUUCUUUGUCCCCUUCGGCCAUGUGAGGACACCGUGAAAAUAGCCAUUUAUGAACUCGGAAGAGGGUCCUCACCAGACACUCAAUCUGCUGCCACCUUCAUCUUGGAUUCCCAGGCUCUAGAACGGUGAGAAAUAAUUUUUUCUUGUCUGUAAGCCACUCAGCCUGUGGUAUUUUGUUAUAGCUUCCCAAAUGGAGUAGGACAACUCAACUCCAAUCUGCUGGACAACACCUAUUUUCUAUAAUUACUCAUAGAUUAUUGACAACAGCUUCAUACAGCUCUAGCUCUUUGAAUCUCUGGAAUAUAGUUCAUCUGGGCCUGGUUCUCCCUGUUUCCUUAACCGGUAUUUGGUUGCAGUUCCCUUCUACAUGCUCUUUGUUCUACCCUUUCCAGAUGGAAUACCAUAUCCUUAAAAGAGAGAGGAUGGAGGAACAGAUCGGAAUCAUUCUGCCUUCUUUGUCCACAGCCGCAGGGCCAAGCUGUGACCCUAUCACUCUCCUCCUUUUAUGCACCCUGGGGUCUCCUCCUCCCAAGCUUCCUGUCCCCACUCUCCUCCCAAGUGUGGUCCAGUAUUAUUUGCCCAUUGUCCGGGGCUUCCUCUCUGAUCCCAUGUCACUGAUAACUGCCAUUGAUUUAGCUUCUGUUCUCACACCUGCCUCUCUGCUACUUGUUCUCAUCAACUUAAUGUGAUUAUCAAGUUCUUCCUCCUUUUUUGAACCAAUGAUCUCUCUUACUGGGUCCACUUUCCUUUCCCUACAUCACCAAAGUAUAAAUCCUUUCUG